Molecule: non-coding RNA, 94 nt
Organism: Termitomyces sp. Mi166#008
Lineage: Eukaryota; Fungi; Basidiomycota; Agaricomycetes; Agaricales; Lyophyllaceae
Source: the annotation of a GenBank genome assembly
UCUUUGCUAGUAUAUCGGUUAGUACACGCGCCUGUCAUAACAAGUGAUUCAUUUCAUCACGCGCGAAAGCUGGGUUCGACUCCCAGGCAAAGAG